UCAAAGCCUAGUUGUCCCGUGCCAAAUUUCAUAAACAUUAUCUUAAUCCUCUACCAAUAUUGAGUAAUUCUAUAUUAUUAUAGAAAAUUUUAUGUUAAAACUAGUAACAAGAAAAAGACUUUCUCUUAAAUGUAAGUGUAAAUCAGAUAGGACAAGCCGCUGAUACUUAACAUUACUGAGCCAAAAGUAGAAACUCACCAAGAAAACCCUACUUUUAUUUAUGUUAACCUAACACAAGAACAUUAUAAGAAAGAUUGAAAGAAAAAGAAGGAACUCGGCAAAUAUAAACCUCGCCUGUUUACCAAAAACAUCGCCUCUUGGAUUUUAUAAGAGGUCCAGCCUGCCCAGUGACUUUGUUCAACGGCCGCGGUAUCCUAACCGUGCGAAGGUAGCGUAAUCACUUGUUCUUUAAAUUAGGACUAGUAUGAACGGCAUCACGAAGGUUUUACUGUCUCCUUUUUCCAAUCAGUGAAACUAAUCUUCCCGUGAAGAAGCGAGAAUAUAAGUAUAAGACGAGAAGACCCUAUGGAGCUUAAAACAACUCAACACUUGCUUAAAUAUUUAAAAAUUUCAGAACUUCAAACUCUUCAAGCAAUAUGAUUGUAAAGUUUUUGGUUGGGGUGACCACGGAGUAUAAUACAACCUCCCUGUUGAAAGUUUUUCUAAGCUAAGAAUUACCCGUCUAAGCAUCAACACACUGACACUCCUUGACCCAAUAUAUUUGAUCAACGAACCAAGUUACCCUAGGGAUAACAGCGCAAUCUACUUCAAGAGCUCCUAUCGACAAGUAGGUUUACGACCUCGAUGUUGGAUCAGGGUAUCCUAGUGGUGUAGCCGCUACUAAA
Molecule: ribosomal RNA, 845 nt
Filed under: Rhinella lilyrodriguezae
Lineage: Eukaryota; Metazoa; Chordata; Amphibia; Anura; Bufonidae
Description: partial 16S ribosomal RNA
Rfam family: Bacterial large subunit ribosomal RNA
Source: RNAcentral